UGCAGUCGAACGCUUCUUUUCCCACCGGAGCUUGCUCCACCGGGAAAAGAGGAGUGGCGAACGGGUGAGUAACACGUGGGUAACCUGCCCAUCAGAAGGGGAUAACACUUGGAAACAGGUGCUAAUACCGUAUAACAAUCGAAACCGCAUGGUUUCGUUUUGAAAGGCGCUUUACGGUGCCGCUGAUGGAUGGACCCGCGGUGCAUUAGCUAGUUGGUGAGGUAACGGCUCACCAAGGCCACGAUGCAUAGCCGACCUGAGAGGGUGAUCGGCCACAUUGGGACUGAGACACGGCCCAAACUCCUACGGGAGGCAGCAGUAGGGAAUCUUCGGCAAUGGACGAAAGUCUGACCGAGCAACGCCGCGUGAGUGAAGAAGGUUUUCGGAUCGUAAAACUCUGUUGUUAGAGAAGAACAAGGGUGAGAGUAACUGUUCACCCCUUGACGGUAUCUAACCAGAAAGCCACGGCUAACUACGUGCCAGCAGCCGCGGUAAUACGUAGGUGGCAAGCGUUGUCCGGAUUUAUUGGGCGUAAAGCGAGCGCAGGCGGUUUCUUAAGUCUGAUGUGAAAGCCCCCGGCUCAACCGGGGAGGGUCAUUGGAAACUGGGAGACUUGAGUGCAGAAGAGGAGAGUGGAAUUCCAUGUGUAGCGGUGAAAUGCGUAGAUAUAUGGAGGAACACCAGUGGCGAAGGCGGCUCUCUGGUCUGUAACUGACGCUGAGGCUCGAAAGCGUGGGGAGCAAACAGGAUUAGAUACCCUGGUAGUCCACGCCGUAAACGAUGAGUGCUAAGUGUUGGAGGGUUUCCGCCCUUCAGUGCUGCAGCUAACGCAUUAAGCACUCCGCCUGGGGAGUACGACCGCAAGGUUGAAACUCAAAGGAAUUGACGGGGGCCCGCACAAGCGGUGGAGCAUGUGGUUUAAUUCGAAGCAACGCGAAGAACCUUACCAGGUCUUGACAUCCUUUGACCACUCUAGAGAUAGAGCUUCCCCUUCGGGGGCAAAGUGACAGGUGGUGCAUGGUUGUCGUCAGCUCGUGUCGUGAGAUGUUGGGUUAAGUCCCGCAACGAGCGCAACCCUUAUUGUUAGUUGCCAUCAUUUAGUUGGGCACUCUAGCAAGACUGCCGGUGACAAACCGGAGGAAGGUGGGGAUGACGUCAAAUCAUCAUGCCCCUUAUGACC
RNAcentral lists this ribosomal RNA (1180 nucleotides) under Enterococcus sp. RNAcentral describes it as "bacterial SSU rRNA". It matches the Rfam family "Bacterial small subunit ribosomal RNA", at positions 56 to 1209 of the family's 1533-position model. Lineage: Bacteria; Bacillati; Bacillota; Bacilli; Lactobacillales; Enterococcaceae. The record is from RNAcentral.